Molecule: non-coding RNA, 126 nt
Organism: Peromyscus maniculatus bairdii (prairie deer mouse)
Lineage: Eukaryota; Metazoa; Chordata; Mammalia; Rodentia; Cricetidae
Source: RefSeq, a predicted model, not a curated record
UAACAGGCUGCUCAGUCUUCUCUCAGAGAUGAGGCCUCAAUUUCAAUUUCCUGAAACUUGAGCAAGCAGUUUCUGGGAGGGCCAUGAACAAAAGACAUAUCGGUAGAGUGUCCUGUAGGAAAAGAG